AGUGAGCACGCGCCUCUCCUCGGACCCGCCAUAGUCGAACGAAGACAGCAUACGUUCUCGUCCUUUCCUCUUUCGACCUGUGUGAAAAUAACGCGCGCUUUUGUCCACGAACGGUGUGUUGUCUUCCUAUCCACGCAGCGUACGGCCUGCUGUAACGUUGGAGAGUAUUACCUGUGCAUCUCGAAGAUGUUGACUGCAAACGAGACACCUUACACCUCCACGUCCACGGCCACCCUCAUCUUACGCGAUGAAAUCUUAUUCUUAACCAGAACGACCACCCUGCUCUACGGAAGGCUCGAAGGAAGGCGACUGUAUCGAAACAUCAACAAGAGUCAUCCGUGUUUAUGUCCCUUACGCUUGAACUUGAGGUGUUCCAAAUCGUUUCAGUCUUAUCGCGUUCGUCGCGCAGUACACACGGAACUGCUAAUAGUUUACCGAUGUGAUUUUAUAAUUCGCGUGUUCGUAUGUGUAAUCGCGUGUGAUAUAAAGAACAAAGGUGAGUGAACCUGAGGUCCAUCGAGGGUCAAUCGCAAGGUGCAGUGUGGUCAUCAGGGUGUAACUCAACGAUCGAUGCUGCGUUUUUUCAAUACCUGUCUUCCCUUCGAUGAUCGUCCUCGCAAUAUUCUUCCCGUGUUACACAGCAGACAAUCGGGAAAAGGUCCAUCGAGCACGCCAUUAUGAUAGUUCAAUUACGAGAUAUUGCCUCUUGGGUUUGAAGUGUUUGAGGAGUGCUGGCCACGGUGGUGGUUCAAUAGGCACUCGAGGAAAGCUGAAGACCCUUUCCACUGUUCGAGUUCUGUCCGAUCGUGUUCCAUGGUAACAACGUAACCCAGUUAACGAGAACGAAGGAGACCGGUUUUCAACGUGCAAGAAAGUGGAAAACAUUAAUAUGGAAAUUGCGUGAGUUGCGACGAAGUUUUUUCUUUGUGCGAGAAAAUCAUUUUUCAAGUGAGUAUUAUUUUUUUAUAAUUAAAUGCUCGGCUACGUACCGGAUUAAAGGCUUUGUUCUUUGUGAGAUAAUCACUUUGAAAAGGUACGUGGCCGCUUCCAGUUAUCUGCAGGCUUCUGGCAACGGUUCUUCCGGGAACAGAAAUUUUAAUUAGUAGGUAGACGUCUUUACAUCCAAGCAACCGGGCGGACUAUUAAUUUCCCUCUCGCCCUCCCUUCAAACCCCAUAGUCGUUUAACCUUUCGUUCUCGACAAACAACCUGUCUUUCCUUCGAUCUCGUUCUCGCCAACCUUCACUGUCCAAUGCGCUAAUUGUUUCAUUAUUUUUUAACAUUCAAAGACAUAAGUUUUUUAUUCGUAUCCCCUGUAAAUCACAAACAAUUCACCUUCGGAUCGAAGUUUCCUAUUAACUCUUUUCUUCAAAAUUGAGGUGAACAAUAUUUUACGAAUCAUUUUCCAUUUUCCCAUUUUAUCGUCCCCUUUCUUCGUCCCCUUGCUCUAAGAAAGAUCGAUCCGAAUAUUCUAUAGAAUCCUCUAUAUCCGUCGACGGUAAACUACUUUCGACUCUUUUUGCCCUGCUGAAAGAAGAAACUGCCUUUCUAAGGAGCCGGAGCAGUCCGGGAUGCCGCAUUCAAACCGUCGAAUAUAUACUGCCGGCUCUUUGAACAUCGGGAAAACUAACGAGAGGGCAUUCCAGGACUCGGCUUUAAGGAAGUUUAUUUUCUUAAUUCGAGACCCGCGCCUGUACAUCAGUGCGGCGCGUUGCGGCGCACCGCGUCGAGUCGCGAGCCACCAUUCAAAAGCUUCAUUAGGGGAAGUCGCGGAUUCUAGAGGCCAUUCACUGAAUCGCGAGCUGAACUCGCGUGACCUUACGCUAUUCUGCGCCCACCCCGAGUAUCGGUGUCCUUUUUACGAUCUCCUUUAACAAGCUGCCUCUUGACCGCGCUCGGUACUCUCGUUACAGUUAUACAAUUUUCAUUUCAAUAACGAAGCCGGUAGAUAAAGUUGAGCUUACGAACUUUUCCAGAAAAUCUACAAUAUUUUGAAAGACGAUUUGUCAGCGCGUUCGAAACAGCGAUAUAACAAACGUGCGGUUAAUUGAACGUUCACCUUAUCGAACCACCCCAUGCUUAAUGUUAAUGAGACAGUGUGAUUGGUCGAGUGUGCGAACGCACGCGUACAUAGAGGGAAGAGAGUACAGGGAGAGACGUAACUAGCCGAAGGCUGUUAACCUCCUCAUUUGCAACGCUUUGAUCCAACCCUACUUUCCAACGAUGGCUUGGAUGCAACGUAUUCCCCCUGUUCCGUGUCUGGUAACCGAUUCCGAACAGAUCGAUCGAUCCUCGAAAUGCAUCCCUGUUUCACGGUGACCGAUGUCACCGGCUGAGGUGGACCGCAACGCGAUAUAAAACGGUACGGUCAAACUGGAUUGAUUUGCAUAAAUAAUUGCGCACAUAUCAUCAAGACACGGGCGAAACUGGUUAAUUAGUACGCCGUUACGCGGGAAUAUAGCUACGUCAAGGGGAUUACCGGCGACGUAUACGUAUACCGUUGGCUUUACAUCGAUCCACCCUGAACGGAUCAGCUUCUCUGAGAAUGGAAAUGGAAUUAUCGUCUAAUCGAACGGGCUUAUUCGUACGAUUAUAUAUCCUAUCAUCUUUCCUGGUGCAAUUAUUUAUUUACAAAAUAUUGCUAUCAAAAAUGAUUUAAAGUAACUCGAAACAAUGAAAGAUAAAUUGAAAAUAGAAUUAACCUAUGCUAAAGAGAAAUUCAAUAGGAUGGUUUCGAGUUCAUUACACUAACGACCCAUCAUUGUAUUCCCAUCGAUCCUUAAGCGUUUCCGCGAUAAUCGUUUGCCAAACCGGAAACGGAAAAUCAUCGCGACCUUCGAGCUGGCGUCGAUGAAUAAAGAAGGCCAGACACGCUUCAUUAAGAGAAGCGUAUUUCACGAACAAAGUCCGGCAACCUCCGUCAGGGAGCAAGUGACAAUGCGAGCUUUGAACGGAAGUCACAAAUCACCCCGUCGGAAUAGCGAGCGGCCCGAUUCAUUUUAACGACCGUUAACCGGAGGAAUGGAGAACGCGAUGUUACACUUGGCGAUCGUUAAAACUUAACGAAAUCCUCCGCCUCUUCGCGGUGCUACGUGUAACCCUUUAUUGGAGAAUGGGCCAGUAUGCUAACAGCUGGAAAAAUUCGGGUCAGAUUAAUAUAGAGGAGACGUUGCAAUUGCGUCCUCGUUUGAUUCGACUAGAUGCAAUGAUCAUGCUCUCUUGUUAAAGAAUGGAAAAUAGAUUAGCACUUUAAUAAUUAUAAUGAAGACAGAAAAGGGCUUAAAAUAGAACAAGAAAAAUAUUGUCGUUUUAAUGAAAACAAUUUCAGUCAGGUGAUUUUCCUUUUAAAAGUUAGCCAACUCGAAGAAGUUGAUUCUGCUGUUACAGCCAGGUCAUAAAAGAUACAAAUGAAGUCUCAAGGUUCAUUUACAACGAAAAACUACGCAACUCGCCUGUAUUCGACGGGGAACGUUUCAUUUGAGGGUCGGGUUGCCACCUAGAACCCCCAAUAAAUCCUGUAAUCCGGCGUGUCACGUUAGGAAUACGAAUUUCUCGUGGCGUCGCGACGCUACGCGCUACACGAACCGUACCACCAAGAAAGAUUGCAUUUUUUUCAUAUUAGAGAGGCAGCGGGGUGAAGGCUUGACGGAAUCCCAACCUUACACGUAACGUAACGCAGACAAAUUACUCGAUUCAACCCCUAUGGCGCGCACGUGUACAGACCGUUCUAUAAUUGGCUAUACGUGUGUGAGAUGGGGUGAUUCCUCGACGGAGGAAUAAAGCGAGCAACGUUUACCUUAUUUAUGAGGCCAUUUUUGGGAUUGCUCGUUUAAAGCUGCGGUACAUGAUUUCCAGCACGCGUUCGGGUAUCGAGUAACCGAAGGAAAAUGUUUUGAAACAUUGCGAGGGACUCAUUUAAUAUAAAGAAUAAUACUGUUUCGGCGCGACAGUCGAUCUGUUAAUAAAGAAGAAAGUAAGAAAUUGCAAAGCAGACCGUGAAACGCAACUCUCCAUUUUUCUGCUGCCAUUUAAAUGCAGUCUGUAACAAAACAGUGUUCGCUCCAUAUUUAAAUGUCUCUUAGUAUACCAGCAAAGUCCAUUCGCGAUGUCUCUGGGAUCUCUCGCGUCUACUUGCGGUUCAAGCAAAUAGACAAACGAGAUAAGGGACACCGAAGCAUCGUUCUUCGAGUCGCCCGAAAUUUCUCGCCGCAUCCGGAAGCACUCCCGCUUGCAUUCCACAAUGCUAGAACGACCGCAGCAACACCAGUGGAUAGGAAUAUAAAUAAUGGAGCAGCAGGCGACGUUCAGGUUUAUUUCCCCGUCAGGGAUCACCAUCCUUUCCCUACCCACCCGCCAAUUAUGAAACACCCCAUACGUGUGCAUACACGCGAACGCAUCGUUGCCUUACCCUCCCGCCAUGUUUCUUCCUUCCCGCGACGUGUAAUACACUUUUAUGUCGCGUGCAAGAGGGGUCGCAACCCCCUUAUUCCCCAUGCGAUUCCACCGAUUUGAUACGCUUCAACCUUUGCAAUCGUUUGAGUCGUAACUUCUUCUGGCCCUUGCCAGAUUUCCUCCCUCUAUCUACUAGUCAGAAAUCUCUUCGCACGGGAAAGAAAAUUUCUCGUUUCACCCUUACGCGAUAGACAACAUUCAUGAUUUCACGGAGGAAUUUAUUUACGAGUUUUUGGUGUAAUUUUUCAAUUCGAGCUUAAUUCGAAAUAUUAAUAGCAAGUUUAAAAAGAAAAUCAUCUCGCCAAGUGAUGUUAAGUCGUGAAUCCUAAUAAAUAAAGUUGCUCAUUAACAUGACUUUUAGCCUACUCGAGUAAAAUCCAGAAUUUAACGCGGCAGAAGGUACAACCGUAGGGUGCUGUCGCGAUGACCCAAUUACCGCACUCGUAAAGUGCAACGGGGCGGCACGUGAGCCACAUGAAAGCGGUGAACAACCGGAAACUUUGUUAGUCUCGCAGUCUUUCGACACGUUAAGAGGCUGCGCACGAGCCACGAUACCCGGGCUGGGCCGACUUUCGUAAUUAGUUAAGCCGCCUCUUAACGCACCGACGAAGCCCCGAGAUAUUUCCUCGCGAAAACAAUUAUUUCCGCGUGGCAGUCGAUUCGCGAAUCCCCGGCAACCGUUUGCCAACGACUGAGAAAAGAAGAACAAACCACGUUUAACAGCAAUCGGCGGGCUCCGAUGAACGAAAAUACCGUACGCGCACGUGUACCAACGAAAAUUUAAUUAAAUCCAACGGUAAGGUUUCGGCGUUUCGGUAUUCGAAUCCGAUCCGUUUAAUCCGAUCGAGCAAGCAAAUCGGUUACCUAAGUAAUUUCAUCGAUAUGGAGCAACGAAACGGACGUUUAACCGAGCUCGAUAAAUUUUCAGCUUCGCUUUCUCCUUCUCCUUUACACUUUAUCUCCCCUCUUUCGUUGGAUGUCGAAUUUUUGGUGAAAUUAGGUGUUGUAGGGUGAUACUUAUUAUCAAAUGGAUAUAGAGAGAUGAAAAAGGAAUGAAAAUCUACUUUCCACAAAAUUACAGUUAUCGUAGUAACAUGGCCAUUUUCAAUUCCGUUCGAUCGACUGGCCAAGGGAUACGAAACUUCCGGAAAGAGGGUUUCCAAACUGAGCGCACGUGGAUACGCGUCGUGCAGUUCGCACAGGAUAUCGGAGCAACCCUGCUCCGUUUUCCCAAAUUACGCCAAUAACCUGUCCGAUAUAAUGUCUGACUUCGUCGAAUUAAUUAGCCAGAGCAACAACGCCUGGGAACGGUAACUCGACCAGGGAGGUGCAUAGAAUCGCGAUCGAAUUAGCAACGCCGAUACCCGUUCGCUCGUUGAAUAAUGCACGAGUUGACAUUCCGUUCAAUAACAAACGUCCGUUAUUCCAUCGUUACUCCCGUCGAGUUUGCUUAUUUUAACCAAAAGUGCCUUUUUCAUGUUCCGAAUCCCGUGAGAGAGAACCAGCACGUGCGCCAUUCGCGUCUUGCAUAAUCGAAUUGAAAUCGACAGAUCGCAGACACCCCCGGUGACAAAGGGGUUGCAACGAGCACGCCCUCUUGACACAAUGUCCUGGAUUACUCGGGGAAAUUUAUGUUUUCCCGUGACACAACUCUCAGUGUGGCUGGGACGAUAAGUUUCUUAAACGCGUGCCAUUUACCGGCUUAUCAUAUUUGUACCAAUCCCAGAACUAAGCCUGACAAACGAGACAACACAGGCUUCUCGUUUCUAUUCCGGGCAUCGUUUUAUUAUUACGAAUGUAUACGCAACAAAUUUUCGUACGAACACGUGUCUAUUAAUUAAUUAAUUAAAUGAAGCAUGGCAACUGUAGGUCAAAGGUUAAUCAAUCAGUAAUUUGACGGAAGAAACACUUCCAGUGGAGCAAACGGCAACCCUAUGUAUGUUUCGCGGACGAUGCAAUAUUAAUAACUACGCUGCACGCGUCGGUUCGUUUGGUAAAUUAUAGAUACACUGCCGUAACACGGGCAUCAUCGAAAUUUUCGCUGCAAUGGGAACCGGUAAUAAAAUAGAUUGACAUUAUGUAACCCCGUAAUGAACCGACGCGUUGUUAAUUACAGCCUGACGCGAGCUGGACCUCGCUAAUAUUCGUCCAACCUGACACGCAACGAUUUCAUUUUCGUUCAUUCACUAUUCACGAUUCGCGUUCCGUCCAAUGAAAGAUUAUCUUUGCUUCUGUUCAAUUUCAAAAUUUCCUUAAUUUUUCUACAUAUCUUAGAAAUUAUAAUUAUACUCUCGCAUAUCUAUAAAGCAAGCAUCGUUGUGUCUGUUGGAAUACAGUUUGAUACUUUGAUGCAUUUUAUCAAGCUGGCUGAAAAAUCGCCAUUUUUUAAUAUCCUCCUCAAGUCGCUUAUGAAGCGGAGCGAACAUAGUUGCGAUUGAAACCGUAAAUCCUCUUCUUUGUGUCUACACCGGCGAACGACGUUGGCUGAUGACGGCUAACAAAUACUUGGACAGUAAAGGUUCUCCACGGGAGCUACGAACCUCGAAAUUAGCUACUUUCAACCAUCUUCCAGCCGAGACGAAUGGCGUACUAUAGCGAGCUAGACAGCCGGACUAAUACCGUACGCUUUACCGUCCUUGUGAUACCCGUCCUAAUGGAAACCUAGGACACCCGGAAUCCUGGCUUCGUCUAAUUUAUUUGUCGAUGGUCCGGUGACUCCACGGUUGGACAAGUGUUCGUUUAAACUGCCAGAAUUGCUUGCAGGAAAACGUGGAAGAAAGUUGUUCGUCGCGUUCGUCGAGAUUCUUCGAAAAGAGUAGAAGAAAAAUGAAAAUUAAGACUUUCGAGGAACUUUCAAAGAUCCAGGAAAGUCUCCGAUAGACUUUUACGAAAAAAUCGUGGAUUUAUCUGGGACGUGGUUGAAUCAUACCCUCGAGGAAGUUGAUACGUCAAUCAUUUCGUUUCGCAACGUCAGUUACCCUUCGUUUUCUACGUCAGUCCUGACAGUGGCUGAUUUAUUCCUCGUAACCGGCAGAUGUCCUCGAUUCCCUUAACGCGGUCAGCUGUGAUACCGGGUCCUCCUCCUCUGGUGGUCAGACGAUGACGCCGUUGGAUCAUUCGCGGCCAACGUGAUUGAUAAGGGGUACUGGCUGAUAAACACGAGCGUUAAGCGUGCACCAGCGGCCGCGAUAAAUCAAGAAAUGUUUUCGAGAGGCGCGGCUAACGCCGUGGAUAUCGGUGUUUUCGCUUGUUCCUGUUUUCUACAAGGUUUUAUUGGCCGAACUACGUGGCGCGGUGCUUUCCGACGUAUCUGCUGAAAAAUGGGGGUGUUUGUCGUGUAAUAUCGUUGAAUUGCACGGUCGGAGCUUUUUUGCUUUCAAAGCCGCUCUUUCGAAGUUUAAUACCCUUCGAAUUGCUUUCAUUACUGUUGGAAAUCAUUUUUGAAGAAUUAUAAAUAUUCAGCGGUGAUAGAUUAAUAACCUAAGAAGUUUAAAAUUUAGGAAGAGAAAAUGAAAUAGAAUUAAACAUUUUUGAAACGUUUCAUUUCUUUGUUCAUUUUCGUUCGUUCUUCCAGUCAAUAUCGUCGAUUUGAUUCGCUUCGAUCAUUCCGUUGUACUCGAAGCGUGACACACGUUUGGCAUGGCAGGUGACGGGCCAAUUGUUUCGUCGGUGAAGGGUUUUUCCAGAGGAAAAAAAGGUCGCCGGUGUUUUCAUUAAAUUGUCGCCUGUUUCGGCUCGACAAAAAUUGAACUCUUCGGCCAGCUGUUCGGCCCGUGUAACACGCGCGAAACAAUACGCGUUAAUCGAACGGCUAAUAAAAAAGUGUGCCACGAGCAAAAUCGUUUUCAUUUCAUGCGCUAAUAAAAUUCUUGCUUAUAUUUUAUGUGUUAACGUAUCGAAUUAUCGUCUACCGAAAAUUCAAUCGAUAUCGUUUCGUUAAUAAAUAUUCCAAUAUUCUAAACAAAGAUAGUAAUAAAAAAUAACUCAAAAAUUCUUUGAUACUUCCUAGGAUGAAAUCAAGAUCCCUACGACGCCUUUAAUUCAAAUUAAUGUAAAUCUCAAUGAGAUACAUCGAAUUUACUUGGAGGGCAAUUUUCAGGAGGGUUUCGGGGCUUUAAUCUUUCUUAAUGGAACAAGGGGUUUCUAGCCAAUAAAGGCAACCGAAUCGACGUACCAUUUUUACAGUGACUCAUUUCUCAUUUACGCUCCAUUGCAUGUUUCUUCCUUCACAACUAUAGUCACUAUUGAUAAGAAAGGGUUAAUGAGAAAAAGAAAAUACUAUGACAGAAAAAUAAUAAGGUAUUGUAAUAGAGUGUACGAGUGUGCGUUAAUACACCCCUACAUCUAUAACAAAAACUUCUUUCCCAUAAGACAAAAGAUCGUAACGUCUUCGUUAUCUCUUUCACUGUACCACCGGAAACGGUAACUCAAACGAGCUGCAACCUCGACAGCAUAAGCAACGUGCAUGUCUGUUAGAACAGGAACUUUCGCAUGGACAAAGAACAACAUGCAUACGCGCGCGUAUCGAGACUAUUUGCGUCUAGAAGCAAUGUUUUUUCCUUUUCUUUUUUUCCUGUUCCGUAUGGGCGUCGAUAAACGGAACGGGAGUACAGGAAGCUGGCUGGAUCGAAAGCAAGCCCCCUCCAGGCAUGUAGUUAAUCCGGGAUAAAGGUGGUACAUAGCUACGCCAGAAGCACGAUACGCUGGUUGAAGAUGCAUCCAAUGCAUAGCGCGUAUCCCACGGAUUUAUCGACUUACACGCUAACGGAGAAUCCAUCUCGUUCGUCCGAUCAGACGCGGUUCUAUGGCCGAACGGAUCAGGCGUCGAAGAAACGACAGACAGGUCGCAUCGGAUGCACCUGCAUUAUAUUAAUUAAACGCACUGUCCCGUUUGUAUUUGCAAAGACUGGGAUGUUUUAUUCUUUUGUCUGGCAGUCCAUUAUGAUUAUUAAAAAUAAAGGUGGUUUUAAUUAAUAGUAAGUGGCUCGAUAUUAAAAAUAAAAAAAUCAUAGAGUGAGGGAGGAGUUAGCAAAUGGAAAAAUUUGGGUGUCGCGAGUCCUAGAGCCUAAGUACCGUGCGUAUCUACCUGUAUAGGGGACCAUGGUAUGAGAAACGAGUUGACGGAACGAAAAGUUUCUAAAUCCCUCUAUAUGUCGACCAUCAUUAAUAACAUAAAAGGUAUAGUACAACGGUAUUACAGUCAAAGUAUAGUUUCAUUCCUAUGUGAUCUGUAAUGGACUGUAGGAGUCUUUGAUAAUGAUGUUUAUUGAAUCAUGAAUGCGUUACUUUAUUAAAUGAGGGCUUUUGUUCAGAGACAAUGCAUAAUGAGGAAAACGUAGGCACCGGGUAAUGUACUUAGUUAAUUGAAAUUGUUGAGCUCGUUACAGGCUAAUUGAACAAGAGUAAAAUAUCUGUUACUAAAUGUAACGAAUGAUAAAAUUUGCAAACGAGCUUCCUUAAAAAAUUUAUAUUAUUCUUCACCAGUAUACAAACUUAAUAUAGAAAGGAAAUAGAGUGUAAAACUUGAAAAUCUAUUGUAUAAUGUCAAUAAAUUCGAUGGAAGAUAACGUGCAUCCUUCCAGCUAUUUAUUACUGAAUUCUCACAAUGGUUACAUCCGAUCGUGACCGCAACGUUGAGAGUGAUACGUAAAAAGGGCUACAUUUUCGUGAAUAAGAAAAAAGAAGCAAGGACGAAUGUGUAGUAGCGAAGAUUUGUGGCCCAGUCAACGAUAUUUAUUACUGGCCCGUGGGUCAUCUGUAAACAUUAAAUAACCAGCUGCAUCGCGUGCAGCAUACUAUUCUAUUGCACUCCUUGGAUGGUUCACGCGUGAACUUCAAUUUCCUUUAAGCAACAGAACGACUGAGAAUUUGUCAGAAUGAAAUAUCUAAAUCCCAGUGUAUAUUAAAAUAUCUUCUUAGAACUAAUGCGCCAUUAGUUUUUCGAUACUAUGCAUCUAACUUCUUCACGUUUUACAAAUGGCAACUUUGUCUUUCAUUUUC
Osmia lignaria (orchard mason bee) is the source of this 10451-nucleotide long non-coding RNA. RefSeq lists it as uncharacterized. The record is from RefSeq and is a predicted model, not a curated record. Lineage: Eukaryota; Metazoa; Arthropoda; Insecta; Hymenoptera; Megachilidae.